RNAcentral lists this long non-coding RNA (1566 nucleotides) under Salvia miltiorrhiza (redroot sage). Its description in RNAcentral is "long non-coding RNA (SMIL_LNC002854)". The record is from RNAcentral. Lineage: Eukaryota; Viridiplantae; Streptophyta; Magnoliopsida; Lamiales; Lamiaceae.
UUUCAGUAGAUAUUUUUAUAAAUAAAUAAAUAAAAAAGGAAAAAGAAGGUACCCACUAUUUGACAGUGCAGUUACCUCACCUCUAUUGAAUCGCGUACAAAUUGCUAGGUCAAGGCGGAGCUUCUCUCUCUCUCUCUCUCUCUGUCUGCUUGAGCAAAGGUACCACUCUCUUCGUUUCUCUAAAUUCAUGAUUGAUUUCUGAUUUUGGAAUUGCGCUCUACUAUGUACCGAUCUGCCUGUUAUUAGAAUUCUGUGUAAUGUGUUUGGUUUCUGCUGUUUUCUUUGUAAUUUGCUUUGAUUGUCCUUUUCAUUUCAUAUAUCGUACUCAAAUUUUAGAUCUGAUGGACGGGGAUGCAAAUCGUGCUGUUUCUUUUUUUUUUUUUUUUUCAUGAUUCAGUUUGUUCAUACCUUCUUUCUUUAUACUUCUCCAUAAAGACGUUUUGUUUGUUCAUUUUUUCGGUGAUGAUUUUGUUAGUUUCAUUAAGCCUCUGAUGCAUAUCUUGUGAUGCUACUGAUAGUAAUUCAUGUGUUGUUGAUUAGACCAAAACAUGAUUUCAUGAAGUUGUCUUAUGUUUGAAUUUAUUCAAUUAAUUCCGAUUAUUCAGCAUUAGUUUUAUACUGCUGCGAAAACUAAAUGAUGAUAGUACUUCUAUCAUUUUGCUAAAUGGAUGUCAGUUUGACAGGUUUUCUUUUUACGGAAAGACCACUUCCAUGCGUUAAAUUAUGAGAGAUUUCUAGUUUUGCAUCUAUCUAUUGAUUCUUGUGAUAUCUUACAUAUCAUGUUCCAGAUCUUACCUUUUGCGUUGACGAUAUGAAAUCAUUAUGACAAAUUUUUUGCUUUUGUUUUGGAUGAUUCUCAUUUAUCACAGAAUGUAGUCUUUCUUUUGUUUUUGUAUAUUCUUAGCUGUUUGCAUAAUUGUGGCAUUUUCAAUUCAUUAUUUGAAAAUCUUUAAGUAAUCCAUCACAUUUGUUUGCAUGACUAUGAGGUAUUAUAAACCAUACUCUUUUUUUCUGGACAAUCUUUGAGUUUGUUUGUUUUACAUAAUAAUGAUCUUUGGAAGCUGAUCUCUCUGUGUGCACAUGGUAAAAUAUCUUUGCUGUGGAUAUUUCUUUUUGCUUCACUUAAGAUGGAAUUGAAAUCUGACUGAAGUCUUAGAUCUUAGGUAACCUCUUUAAACCCAAAUCGAUCAUACUCCAAAUUUUAUAUGCUAAUGAUAAACGGGUAUUUUCUUUCUAUUAUUCUCUAUGCACUGAUGUUUCAGUUAUCACUUUUACAGUAUUUAUAAAAUAAUGUCGAUAUUUUACGCAGGCACUACUGUAUUGCUUGCUUUUUCAUUAUGGCAUUUCACAAAGCUAUUUAAUUUUGUGUUCUGAUGGGUAAAUUUUUCAUUUGAAAGGAAGCAAUGUCUAUGGAUCGGCCACACUACCCCACCACCGCUCAGAAAGUGGCUGGGCAGCUUUUCAGAUCAACCCCCACUCAGCUAUUUUGGAGUCCUUUGAAGGUGGUCAGUCUCGACCAUCUUUAUAUCAAUCACAAUUCAAAUAUGGGAACUACACUAACGCUGC